Long non-coding RNA from Aquila chrysaetos chrysaetos, 668 nucleotides. RefSeq lists it as uncharacterized. NCBI's taxonomy places the organism in Eukaryota, Metazoa, Chordata, Aves, Accipitriformes, Accipitridae. The transcript has 3 exons. The record is from RefSeq and is a predicted model, not a curated record.
GCUGGCAGACUUUGUCCUGGCAAAAGAUUCUUGCUAAGUGAUGUAGUAACUACAGAACAAUUUAUGGCAGCAAAACAGGGAAGAGUGCUGUGCAACAUCUCUUACCUUCAGAUCCCACCGGACCCUGAAACCCUGCUGCUCCUUGUUCACCUCUGGAGCCGGGAGGAGCUGGAAGGCCACCCCUGCCCUGGAGUCCUGGCUCUCCAGGCAAAGAGCACUGACUUCAUUGGAAAAGGUUGCUGGGAUCAAGACUACAUGAGCCCCACAACCCUAAUCUUUCACUCUUGCUACCACCAUGCAUCUCUGAUGAGGCUAGUAGCAAGAGGUGCACUGCAUCAGGGCCACGCAUCACUGCUGCUACGUUCUCUGGGUUGACAGUACACCCACAAGGAUGUGUGCAUUUCCACCAAAGACAUUCAGUCUUGAUUUAAGUGAGAUCCGUAUCUGAUGUUUGGCUAUGUGAGUGUUGUUGAAGUUUUCUCCUGGUUUGCUUAUGUUCUGAAUUCUAGGAGGAGGAGGAAAGCCAAGCCCUGGCUUUGAAAGACCAAAAUUUGACUCCUCUCUGACUUCAGAAUUUAAAGUAGAAGAGAGCCAAAGCAGUGCUCUGGUGGCCUCACUCUGCUAAGGGGAACUGAGCUUUCACUCCGAGUGUGCGACUCCUACCUGGA